CUAGCGACAGGCCUAACACAUGCAAGUCAGGGGCAUCAGGGUUGAAGCUUGCUCCCGGGUGGCGAGUGGCGCACGGGUGAGUAAUACAUCGGAACGUGUCCUGUUGUGGGGGAUAACUGCUCGAAAGGGUGGCUAAUACCGCAUGAGACCUGAGGGUGAAAGCGGGGGAUCGCAAGACCUCGCGCAAUUGGAGCGGCCGAUGCCCGAUUAGCUAGUUGGUGGGGUAAAGGCUCACCAAGGCGACGAUCGGUAGCUGGUCUGAGAGGACGACCAGCCACACUGGGACUGAGACACGGCCCAGACUCCUACGGGAGGCAGCAGUGGGGAAUUUUGGACAAUGGGGGCAACCCUGAUCCAGCCAUGCCGCGUGCAGGAUGAAGGCCUUCGGGUUGUAAACUGCUUUUGUCAGGGACGAAAAGGACCGUGUUAAUACCAUGGUCUGCUGACGGUACCUGAAGAAUAAGCACCGGCUAACUACGUG
This 481-nucleotide ribosomal RNA is filed under the name uncultured bacterium. Its description in RNAcentral is "bacterial SSU rRNA". It matches the Rfam family "Bacterial small subunit ribosomal RNA", at positions 36 to 507 of the family's 1533-position model. The record is from RNAcentral.